GCUAGUAUCAGGAGAUAGGAGGGAUGAGGGUGCGUCUGUGGAUGAUUGGUGGACUCGUUUGGAAAGAUGAAUUUGUCAUGUAGUAACCAAAAGCAUGUAUGGUUCAAAAUAUUCUCGGUGCCUACGUACACAAACAGAACAAAAUACAAAGUAAAGACUAAAGAAGAGUCUUGAGCUAAGGUUCAUAAAGGCAAGUAUUGGGUGAAAGAAGUGAAAAGAAAAGCAUGCAAAAUGAAUAAUUCAUGAAGAAAUGAAUAUUUGUAGAAUUCAUGGCGACGCGUGGGAAGGAAAUCUGCCAGACGACGCGUACGCGUGACCCAUGCGUGCGUUACAAGCAGCACGUAACCAACUUAAGGGCAAUACGCUGGGGGCGAUUUCUGAGCCAUCCAGGCCUAGAUCCAACUCAUUUUUUGAUGCUAUUGAAUCCAAGGAUUGAGGGGGAAUAAACGAAGUAUUCAUAAUUUAGUUUUUCAUCAUGUUUUAGGUUAGAUUUCUAGAGAAAAAAGCUCUCUCUUCUCUCUAGAAAUUAGGGUUUUAGAUCACUUCUCUCCAUAGAUUUAGGUUUCAAUUAUUGUUUUGAUUUAGUUUUUUUUUUUUUACUAUUUCUUGUUAUUACAUCUUUGUUCUCUUAA
This is a long non-coding RNA of Arachis duranensis, 632 nucleotides long. RefSeq lists it as uncharacterized. The record is from RefSeq and is a predicted model, not a curated record. Lineage: Eukaryota; Viridiplantae; Streptophyta; Magnoliopsida; Fabales; Fabaceae. The transcript is spliced from 2 exons.